GUGGGUGAAGUUGUUGUGAAGAUGAUGUUGAGUUCUAGGCGUACGCAACCCCCAGUCAUUUGCCUAUGAAGUUUGGAGUCUCUGUUUCCAAAGUUUAAGCUGUAAAUUUCUUAUAGUCUUGUAAGUCUUUAUUUGUAUGUUUUUACGUGAUACUGUUGCUGUUAUUCACUAAUGAUGUUACUAUAGUAUGAAACUAGAUCCUGGUAUACAUAUAGGUAACACUUGAUUUUUUUCCUUAAAACCGGGUGUGACAUGUUUGCAUUGCUCAUCGACAUGUGUCAAAUAAAGCUCUCCAUCAGAGAGACUGCAUCUUGUAG
This 317-nucleotide long non-coding RNA is filed under the name Setaria viridis. RNAcentral describes it as "long non-coding RNA (SVIR_LNC008955)". The record is from RNAcentral. Lineage: Eukaryota; Viridiplantae; Streptophyta; Magnoliopsida; Poales; Poaceae.